AUAACCUCAGAAGGGAAGAAAUGUUUUAUAUCUUGAUCUGGGUAGUGGUUACAUGAGCAUUCACAUGUGGAAAAAUUCAAUAAGCUCUACACUUAAGAUUGAUACAUUUUAUGGUAUAUAUUUAAACCUCAAAUUUAUAAACUUUUUCAAAAAAUUAAUAAGUUAUUAUGUAGUAGGGUUGGCACCUAUUAAAAGAAAUUUUGGGAAACACAGAAUCAGGGUUUUUCCUUAUUUUGCCAGAAUUGUCCAGAAACAUAAUUCCUCCAAGUCAGAACAGACUCAUCUGUUUUUAAAACAGAAUUAAACCUCAUGGCCAACUAAUUGGACUCUUUCCCAAAGAGAGAUAUACCUCACACAAACAGCUGUGUCUUAAAGAUCAAGUUUUUGUUAUAGCCUACAAGCUAUGGAAAAUUCUGCCAGAUGAUUUGGAGACAUUCAUUUCUCCUUUAUUUCUUGCUAGCAGAGCCACACUUUUGUUCAGGGUCCACCAGUUCUCCACCCGA
This 503-nucleotide long non-coding RNA is filed under the name Homo sapiens (human). Its description in RNAcentral is "HSALNT0179740". Lineage: Eukaryota; Metazoa; Chordata; Mammalia; Primates; Hominidae. The record is from RNAcentral.